Molecule: long non-coding RNA, 774 nt
Organism: Cucumis melo (muskmelon)
Lineage: Eukaryota; Viridiplantae; Streptophyta; Magnoliopsida; Cucurbitales; Cucurbitaceae
Exons: 2
Source: RefSeq, a predicted model, not a curated record
UACAGGGAGGGGACGCGGCUCGGCUACGCGGAACACACGGCGCGGCGCGCUUGCACGCGGGAGAGUCAGGCACGUGUGGCACGGGCGCGGGUUCGGUUCCGGGUUCGGGCGCGCGGGCGGUUCCAGGUUCGAGCGCGCGGGCGGUUCCGGGUUCGAGCGCGCGGGCGGUUCCGGGUUCGGGUUCGUUCGUCGGCUGGAGGCGGGCGCGUUCGCGGCUUCGAUACGGCUCGGGUGUAGGCGCGUUCGCGGCUCGGAUUUGCAGACGCGUUCGCGGCUCGGAUGCAGACGACGAUGGCUGGCGACGCGGCUUCGACGUGGAGAUGGAUCUCGGCUUCGCGACGCGUUCGGCGCAGAGGUGGAUUCGGCUUCGGGACGCGACGGGUUUCGGCUGACCUGCCUCAGAUCGAAGCGGCGCGGCUCCUUCGGCUGGCGGACGCGGUACGACGCGGCUUCUACGAUGGCUGGCUUGCGGCGGCGUGCGACGGCGGCGGCGGCGGUGGAGAUUGGCGGCGGCGGCUAGGGUUUCCCCUUCUCUCCCUCUUCUCUUUUCUUUUCCUUUUCUUUUCCUUUUCUUUUUCCUUUUCUUUUCCUUUUAUAAAAUAAUUUCCCUUCUUUUCUCUUCUUUGUUAAAUUCCAAAUUUCACCCUUCUCUCUCAAAUUUCUCCAAUAUCCUCACCAAAUUCCUCCUUUCCCUCAACUUCCAAAUACCAAUUAAAUCUUUAAUUACCAAGUAUAAUUAAAGUUGAAAUUUGCUUAAUAUUUUAAAAGGGGAAA